RNAcentral lists this ribosomal RNA (398 nucleotides) under uncultured bacterium. RNAcentral's name for it is "partial 16S ribosomal RNA". It matches the Rfam family "Bacterial small subunit ribosomal RNA", at positions 360 to 773 of the family's 1533-position model. The record is from RNAcentral.
AAUCUGUCGCAAUGGGCGAAAGCCUGACGCUGCAACGCCGCGUGAACGAUGAAGGCCUUCGGGUCNUCAAGUUCUGUCAGGGGGGANGAAUUUAUGACGGUACCCCCAGAGGAAGCCCCGGCUAACUACGUGCCAGCAGCCGCGGUAACACGUAGGGGGCAAGCGUUGUCCGGAAUUACUGGGCGUAAAGGGCGUGUAGGCGGCGGAUCAAGUCAGGUGUGAAAAUCCAGGGCUCAACCCUGGACGUGCACUUGAAACUGGUUCGCUUGAGUGCAGAAGAGGAAAGUGGAAUUCCCAGUGUAGCGGUGAAAUGCGUAGAUAUUGGGAGGAACACCAGUGGCGAAGGCGACUUUCUGGUCUGUAACUGACGCUGAGGCGCGAAAGCUAGGGGAGCGAAC